CUCAAUUAAAGAGAGCACCAUGUGUGACAUGUUAAACUUGCAAUUACACUAAGAGCUAAGGAAGGUCAGCAUCAUUGCAUUUAUACUAUCAGGAACACAGCUGGUGAUCAAAAUGGCUUGGUGUUAAACACAAACAGAAAACUGAAAAUUAACAGAAAGAUUAAACACAAUUUAAAGAGUCACUCUAGUCAUCAAAGCAGC
This is a non-coding RNA of Pelobates cultripes (western spadefoot toad), 201 nucleotides long. Lineage: Eukaryota; Metazoa; Chordata; Amphibia; Anura; Pelobatidae. The record is from the annotation of a GenBank genome assembly.